This 468-nucleotide ribosomal RNA is filed under the name uncultured bacterium. RNAcentral's name for it is "partial 16S ribosomal RNA". It matches the Rfam family "Bacterial small subunit ribosomal RNA", at positions 28 to 507 of the family's 1533-position model. The record is from RNAcentral.
GACGAACGCUGGCGGCGUGCUUAACACAUGCAAGUCGAACGGAAAGGCCCUGCUUUUGUGGGGUGCUCGAGUGGCGAACGGGUGAGUAACACAUGAGUAACCUGCCCUUGACUUUGGGAUAACUUCAGGAAACUGGGGCUAAUACCGGAUAGGAGCUCCUGCUGCAUGGUGGGGGUUGGAAAGUUUCGGCGGUUGGGGAUGGACUCGCGGCUUAUCAGCUUGUUGGUGGGGUAGUGGCUUACCAAGGCGUUGACGGGUAGCCGGCCUGAGAGGGUGACCGGCCACAUUGGGACUGAGAUACGGCCCAGACUCCUACGGGAGGCAGCAGUGGGGAAUAUUGCACAAUGGGCGGAAGCCUGAUGCAGCAACGCCGCGUGCGGGAUGACGGCCUUCGGGUUGUAAACCGCUUUCGCCUGUGACGAAGCGUGAGUGACGGUAAUGGGUAAAGAAGCACCGGCUAACUACGUG